GUAAUAAGAGAAAAAGGGGACUAGCUCUUGGCUCAAGGGUAUUGUAAAUGAAUAAUUAAAACUUAACUUUUAAUAUAAAAAUAUUAAAAGUUAAGUUUUAAUUAUUCACUUACAAUACCCUUGGGCCAAAAGCUAGUCCUCUUUUUCUCUUAUUC
This is a non-coding RNA of Pelobates cultripes (western spadefoot toad), 155 nucleotides long. Lineage: Eukaryota; Metazoa; Chordata; Amphibia; Anura; Pelobatidae. The record is from the annotation of a GenBank genome assembly.